RNAcentral lists this long non-coding RNA (2186 nucleotides) under Theobroma cacao (cacao). RNAcentral's name for it is "long non-coding RNA (TCAC_LNC000893)". The record is from RNAcentral. Lineage: Eukaryota; Viridiplantae; Streptophyta; Magnoliopsida; Malvales; Malvaceae.
CGUAAAUAAUUUUUGUAGCGUAAAAGCAAAAUAAAUUUGUACAUACAGUAACACAAAUAGUCAAGGUAUGUAAUUAAAUUUACAAUGACACGUGGAUCCCCAAAUGACUAAAAGUAAUGAAGGCUGUGAACCUACAGUUUUUGAGGAAGUAAAGCCAAAUGUAGCCUUCGACAAUAUCAGCUAUCUACAAACUAUCCUGAGCCUGAAAUGGGUGGAAAGGAGGGUGAUGAGAUUAUAUAAUCCCAGUGAGUAAACAAAUACCAUCUAAAAUAUCUAAAGCUGAGUAAAUGGAGACAGAUAAAAUAGAUUAGCAUAAAAAUGAUUCACAGCAUUUCAAACUCAUUUUAAUAAGAUAAAAUAGAUUCAUUUCACCCAAAAUAAAUAACGAGGUUUAUGAUUUCUUGAAAAGCUUGGCUUGUGCCAAAAUCAUUCUCAUACUCAGUUGUCAGGGAUACCUUGGCCUGAGGCUAUCCCAACCGAGUCCGCUAAGGCUGUUAAAAAGUCAUGUAUGCAUAAAUCAUGUUUUUUAUUUUGAAAACAUAGUUGUUCCUUGGCGUUGGCUGAGUUCACCCUCAAGUGAUGGUUUGGCGUGAAGUGAACUCUAAAGUUGUACCUUGAGAGUUACCCUACAUACCUCUCCGAUCGAGGUAAGAAUAUAACGGGAUUUUGUGCCCCUCAAAAAGGCUGGUCCAAAGAACUCGCCCACUGCAGCAAGCUAAACCCACCAUACAAUAAAAUUUGCAAUAGCAUGACAUGGCAAUAAUUUUAUUUUACAGCCUCUCGAGGCUAAUCAACAGUUCAUACAUUUUCAGCACAUUUACCAAUUCAACCAUUCAUGCCAAUAUUAUCAUAAGCCAUUCAAUUCAAACCAUGAUUUAUAACACAACAAUUAGUCUCCAAUUACUCCAUUUUCAAAACCAUCUUUCAAUUUCAAGACAAUUUUAUAAAAUCAUUUCAUUUAAUUACAUUUUGCUUAUAAAACAUAAAGAUUUACCAUUUAAACUCGUUUUUCUAUCAAAUCACAAAAACGAAUAAAAACUACUUUAGAUAAUUAAGACGAUAAUAAGGUUACUCAUUGUAAUGGGAAUCGAGUUCUGAGUACUCCGAUUCUUGAUCCUCGGGUACUAUCUCUUUACUUUUGCCAGAAAGCUCACCACCUAAACAUAAUACACAAUAAGCCAUUUACUACAUUUGUGCUAAAUUAUUAUAAAACCAAUUCAAACUCUAUACUAAUGCAUGAAAUGAAAUGCGAAUUGUUCGGAUCAUCGUCUAAACACGGUGUUUUACAUAAAUUCAAUUGUGUACCUAAAUAAAACGGUAUUGGCCUAAUUCGAUCUUUCACCCAAUUAAUUGGCCAAUAUGUCCAAUUUAACUCCAAUUAACUCCAUUUUUCUUCCAAUUCUCCAAACCAUCAAACACAAGUCAAAUAGCAUAAAAUUUAGUAAAAUCAUCUUCACAUUUUCUCUUGGGAAUUUCGGCCAUGGUGGGUGCAUCAAUACUAUGAUUUUUCCUACUUGAUUUUCUCACCAUAAUUCAUCAUUUCCUAACCAAUUCACUUGAAAUAAAAUCAAAAUCAUCAUCAAUAUUCCACAUGGAGAAUUCGGCCAAUGAGGGUUAUGGAAAAACAUGAAUUUUUCUUGCUUGAUUUUCAUGCUACACAUCACCAAUCAACUAAAAACACUAGAAUAUCUUAAAAUCUAACCAAAACAACCAUCAAAAUCUCUCUCUAAGUGUUCAGCCAAUAAGAGACCUAUCAUGAAAUCAUGUGAUUCAACCACGAAAAAUGCAAAAGAAUGUAUGGGAAAGGUAGAUCACAAGUCAAAAUCAAGAAAUUUUACCUUUGAUUGCUUGAUUACUUGAAAUCCACCAAUUUUCUCUUGAAUUUUCACUCUAGGGUUUUUGUUCUUUCUUUUCUUCCUUUGUUCUUGCUUUGGCCGGCCAUAAGAAUGAAUGUGGAAGAGUUCAAAUUGGCUUUAUAAAGGAAAAUAUUAAAUGGACAAAAAUUUACCAUGUGUCACCAUUCCAUUAGUCCAUGUGUCAUACUUACCCAUUAAGCAAUUUCUCUCCACCAUUUAAAUUUCCUCAAUUAUCCAUGAUAAUAUUGGGUAAAAUUCAUGUGCUGGAUAAGUGUUGGGUGGUGUAAGAUUCUGAUUUUACCCUUGGAUGACAAAAUGACUAUUUUACCC